Molecule: long non-coding RNA, 611 nt
Organism: Symphalangus syndactylus (siamang)
Lineage: Eukaryota; Metazoa; Chordata; Mammalia; Primates; Hylobatidae
Source: RefSeq, a predicted model, not a curated record
CAUCCAUGUAAGAUGUAACUUGCUCCUCUUUGCUUUCUGCCAUGAUUGUGAGGCCUCCCCAGUCAUGUGGAACUAAUUCUCCUUUCCAUGGUCUCCAAGCAGAAAAGUCUCAGAAACUUCCUUGAGACACAUGUGGCUGAUGAAGAAUGGGUUCUUAAUAAUUCCCUUUGGGACCAUGAUGAGCAUGAUGGCUCCCAUUUGGUGCUUUUUCUACAGACAGAGUCGGGAAAAUCGAUGUUAUGAAAGUACCUGAACAUGACAACCUAUGUUGGGAAGGCAGUGUGCCCAGGGAAUGGACAGAAGUUUAAAUAUCAAACAGUAGAAAAUAUGAAACCCACUACAGCUUAAAACUUUCCGCAUGGGAACACUUCUACACAUCUUAACCAGACUGCUUCAUGUGCUCUAAAUAGGAGCCUCUCAGAAAAUUUGUUGUACUUCGUCAAAAUGGUAUGUAUUAAGAAAGACUUCCCCUUAUUAUCUUCUCCCAACUUGAAGACCUCAACAGAAGUGCCAUUAGAUCUCAAGAACUUUAUUGUACUUACAACUUUCAUAAUGGUCACCGUCAAUUCCAAAGUUAAUGCAAAGGCUAAGUUACCAAACCUUGGAAGGUA